RNAcentral lists this ribosomal RNA (761 nucleotides) under Niallia circulans. Its description in RNAcentral is "bacterial SSU rRNA". It matches the Rfam family "Bacterial small subunit ribosomal RNA", at positions 52 to 815 of the family's 1533-position model. The record is from RNAcentral. Lineage: Bacteria; Bacillati; Bacillota; Bacilli; Caryophanales; Bacillaceae.
UAAUGCAAGUCGAGCGGACUUUAAAAGCUUGCUUUUAAAGUUAGCGGCGGACGGGUGAGUAACACGUGGGCAACCUGCCUGUAAGACUGGGAUAACUUCGGGAAACCGGAGCUAAUACCGGAUAAUCCUUUUCCUCUCAUGAGGAAAAGCUGAAAGACGGCAUCUCGCUGUCACUUACAGAUGGGCCCGCGGCGCAUUAGCUAGUUGGUGAGGUAACGGCUCACCAAGGCAACGAUGCGUAGCCAACCUGAGAGGGUGAUCGGCCACACUGGGACUGAAACACGGCCCAAACUCCUACGGGAGGCAGCAGUAGGGAAUCUUCCGCAAUGGGACAAAAGUCUGACGGAGCAACGCCGCGUGAGUGAUGAAGGUUUUCGGAUCGUAAAGCUCUGUUGUUAGGGAAGAACAAGUACAAGAGUAACUGCUUGUACCUUGACGGUACCUAACCAGAAAGCCACGGCUAACUACGUGCCAGCAGCCGCGGUAAUACGUAGGUGGCAAGCGUUGUCCGGAAUUAUUGGGCGUAAAGCGCGCGCAGGCGGUCCUUUAAGUCUGAUGUGAAAGCCCACGGCUCAACCGUGGAAGGGUCAUUGGAAACUGGGGGACUUGAGUGCAGAAGAGAGAGUGGAAUUCCACGUGUAGCGGUGAAAUGCGUAGAGAUGUGGAGGAACACCAGUGGCGAAGGCGACUCUUUGGUCUGUAACUGACGCUGAGCCGAAGCUGGACAACAGAUAAUACUGUAGUCAGCGUAACGAUGAUGC